Molecule: ribosomal RNA, 90 nt
Filed under: Fonticella tunisiensis
Lineage: Bacteria; Bacillati; Bacillota; Clostridia; Eubacteriales; Clostridiaceae
Source: RNAcentral
CCCGUUCCCAUUCCGAACACGAAGGUUAAGCCCUGUAACGCCGAUGGUACUAUGGCGGAGACGCCAUGGGAGAGUAGGUAGCUGCCGGAU